GGUUAAGCGACUAAGCGUACACGGUGGAUGCCCUGGCAGUCAGAGGCGAUGAAGGACGUGCUAAUCUGCGAAAAGCGUCGGUAAGGUGAUAUGAACCGUUAUAACCGGCGAUGUCCGAAUGGGGAAACCCAGUGUGAUUCGUCACACUAUCGUUAACUGAAUACAUAGGUUAACGAGGCGAACCGGGGAACUGAAACAUCUAAGUACCCCGAGGAAAAGAAAUCAACCGAGAUUCCCCCAGUAGCGGCGAGCGAACGGGGAGCAGCCCAGAGUCUGAAUCAGCUUGUGUGUUAGUGGAACGGUCUGGAAAGUCCGACGGUACAGGGUGAUAGUCCCGUACACCAAAAUGCACAGGCUGUGAACUCGAAGAGUAGGGCGGGACACGUGGUAUCCUGUCUGAAUAUGGGGGACCAUCCUCCAAGGCUAAAUACUCCUGACUGACCGAUAGUGAACCAGUACCGUGAGGGAAAGGCGAAAAGAACCCCGGCGAGGGGAGUGAAAAAGAACCUGAAACCGUGUACGUACAAGCAGUGGGAGCACCUUCGGGUGUGACUGCGUACCUUUGUAUAAUGGGUCAGCGACUUAUAUUCUGUAGCAAGGUUAACCGUAUAGGGAGCCGCAGGGAAACCGAGUCUUAACUGGGCGUUAAGUUGCAGGGUAUAGACCCGAAACCCGGUGAUCUAGCCAUGGGCAGGUUGAAGGUUGGGUAACACUAACUGGAGGACCGAACCGACUAAUGUUGAAAAAUUAGCGGAUGACUUGUGGCUGGGGGUGAAAGGCCAAUCAAACCGGGAGAUAGCUGGUUCUCCCGAAAGCUAUUUAGGUAGCGCCUCGUGAACUCAUCUUCGGGGUAGAGCACUGUUUCGGCUAGGGGUCAUCCCGACUUACCAACCCGAUGCAAACUACGAAUACCGAAGAAUGUUAUCACGGGAGACACACGGCGGGUGCUAACGUCCGUCGUGAAGAGGAAACAACCCAGACCGCCAGCUAAGGUCCCAAAGUCAUGGUUAAGUGGGAAACGAUGUGGGAAGGCACAGACAGCCAGGAUGUUGGCUUAGAAGCAGCCAUCAUUUAAAGAAAGCGUAAUAGCUCACUGGUCGAGUCGGCCUGCGCGGAAGAUGUAACGGGGCUAAACCAUGCACCGAAGCUGCGGCAGCGACACUAUGUGUUGUUGGGUAGGGGAGCGUUCUGUAAGCCUGCGAAGGUGACCUGUGAGGGUUGCUGGAGGUAUCAGAAGUGCGAAUGCUGACAUAAGUAACGAUAAAGCGGGUGAAAAGCCCGCUCGCCGGAAGACCAAGGGUUCCUGUCCAACGUUAAUCGGGGCAGGGUGAGUCGACCCCUAAGGCGAGGCCGAAAGGCGUAGUCGAUGGGAAACAGGUUAAUAUUCCUGUACUUGGUGUUACUGCGAAGGGGGACGGAGAAGGCUAUGUUAGCCGGGCGACGGUUGUCCCGGUUUAAGCAUGUAGGCUGGUUAUCCAGGCAAAUCCGGAUAAUCAAGGCUGAGGUGUGAUGACGAGGCACUACGGUGCUGAAGUAACAAAUGCCCUGCUUCCAGGAAAAGCCUCUAAGCAUCAGGUAACAUCAAAUCGUACCCCAAACCGACACAGGUGGUCAGGUAGAGAAUACCAAGGCGCUUGAGAGAACUCGGGUGAAGGAACUAGGCAAAAUGGUGCCGUAACUUCGGGAGAAGGCACGCUGGUGUGUAGGUGAAGCCCCUGCGGGUGGAGCUGAGACCAGUCGAAGAUACCAGCUGGCUGCAACUGUUUAUUAAAAACACAGCACUGUGCAAACACGAAAGUGGACGUAUACGGUGUGACGCCUGCCCGGUGCCGGAAGGUUAAUUGAUGGGGUUAUCCGUAAGGAGAAGCUCUUGAUCGAAGCCCCGGUAAACGGCGGCCGUAACUAUAACGGUCCUAAGGUAGCGAAAUUCCUUGUCGGGUAAGUUCCGACCUGCACGAAUGGCGUAAUGAUGGCCAGGCUGUCUCCACCCGAGACUCAGUGAAAUUGAACUCGCUGUGAAGAUGCAGUGUACCCGCGGCAAGACGGAAAGACCCCGUGAACCUUUACUAUAGCUUGACACUGAACAUUGAGCCUUGAUGUGUAGGAUAGGUGGGAGGCUUUGAAGCGUGGACGCCAGUCUGCGUGGAGCCAACCUUGAAAUACCACCCUUUAAUGUUUGAUGUUCUAACGUUGGCCCCUUACCGGGGUUGCGGACAGUGUCUGGUGGGUAGUUUGACUGGGGCGGUCUCCUCCCAAAGCGUAACGGAGGAGCACGAAGGUUAGCUAAUCCUGGUCGGACAUCAGGAGGUUAGUGCAAUGGCAUAAGCUAGCUUGACUGCGAGCGUGACGGCGCGAGCAGGUGCGAAAGCAGGUCAUAGUGAUCCGGUGGUUCUGAAUGGAAGGGCCAUCGCUCAACGGAUAAAAGGUACUCCGGGGAUAACAGGCUGAUACCGCCCAAGAGUUCAUAUCGACGGCGGUGUUUGGCACCUCGAUGUCGGCUCAUCACAUCCUGGGGCUGAAGUAGGUCCCAAGGGUAUGGCUGUUCGCCAUUUAAAGUGGUACGCGAGCUGGGUUUAGAACGUCGUGAGACAGUUCGGUCCCUAUCUGCCGUGGGCGCUGGAGAAUUGAGGGGGCUGCUCCUAGUACGAGAGGACCGGAGUGGACGCAUCACUGGUGUUCGGGUUGUCAUGCCAAUGGCACUGCCCGGUAGCUAAAUGCGGAAGAGAUAAGUGCUGAAAGCAUCUAAGCACGAAACUUGCCCCGAGAUGAGUUCUCCCUGAGACUUUAAGUCUCCUGAAGGAACGUUGAAGACGACGACGUUGAUAGGCCGGGUGUGUAAGCGCAGCGAUGCGUUGAGCUAACCGGUACUAAUGAACCGUGAGGCUUAACCUU
This 2892-nucleotide ribosomal RNA is filed under the name Klebsiella pneumoniae. RNAcentral describes it as "23S ribosomal RNA". It matches the Rfam family "Bacterial large subunit ribosomal RNA". Lineage: Bacteria; Pseudomonadati; Pseudomonadota; Gammaproteobacteria; Enterobacterales; Enterobacteriaceae. The record is from RNAcentral.